CUAGCAGUUUUGAAGUCUCAAGUCCUCCAUGUAAUCCAAAGCAGGAACCGCACAGGUAGCAGCAGUGCAAGCUUCUACACACUGCCUUGCCACUGUACCUCAGCCCUCAGAAGGGACAUCAGGAAUGAGAGUGGUUUAGUUACCAUGCCUAUCCAAUCCCAGGCUUCU
Unclassified non-coding RNA from Chelonoidis abingdonii (Abingdon island giant tortoise), 168 nucleotides. NCBI's taxonomy places the organism in Eukaryota, Metazoa, Chordata, Testudines, Testudinidae. The record is from Ensembl.